CGACAUAUUUGCUUCGUCUUCUUCGAAAUCACCUAAGCUUCACCGCCGUUACCAUUACCUUCUACUAUCAUCUUCAACGUAUGACUCACACAUCUAAGUCUCACAAAGCUUCAUCAAUCACUUCUAUAUCCUCCAUAUGACAACAUUGAUCCACAGCCAUGAUAUCCGCUCAUGCUUCCGGGAAGUCUCAAGUUGCCCUCAUCGAUGUGCUCUCGCUCCACUUUCAUGUUUCCUUCCAUCUGUCUCCACUGUAAUCUCCUUGACCAGUUUUCUUUUUUUUCCGUGAUGCAAGGCUUCAUCUCAGCUAAUCGUGCUCCACGAUACGAGCCCCAACUCAAACCAGGAGCUUCAGAAUUUCUUCGCAACCACAAUCGACUAGAUGAACUGAUGAGGGAUUGUGGCUGCAAAAGUUUCCUGCUUCGGAUUCCACGGAUUGGAUACCAAUUACUUGCCUUCGCUUCUAGACCAGUUCCCUCCUUCCAAUCAUUCUCUCUACCCUCCCCCUCCGCCUCAGCUUCCCACUGUAAGUUACGAUCAAAUCCUUUCUGAUUACUCCGUCGUGAUUCCCGAUUUCGAUUAGGUUUAGGUUUGGAGACUUCGAAAUGGAUCAGAUUUUUCUAUGAGAGUUUGAUGAUUUUCAGUGUGGCGUUCCAUUCGUCUGGGUUUGUUUCCAGCGACCCUGUGAGUUUCCCACGGAGCUACCCCAUUGUCUUGACGGUUAUGUGAUUAUUGCAUUCUUUAAUGGAGAAGUCGUUAUGCAUGUUCAAUUUAAGUUGUUUGAUUUGUCUACACUUGCUUUAUCUGUUUGUGGUUAUCUUCAAUCCAUAGAGGGUGAUGGAGCGAAAAUAUUUGUCAGUUGCAUUGCGUUUCGGGACAGAGUCUGCGAUGAUGUUACUGAACCUUAUCGUUUACCACCCAAUACAUACGCAUACAAGUGUAUUUGUAUCAUCUCUCAUGCCCCCAAUUUCCCAGCUCUUCGGGAUUCUCUCGAGGAGAUUUUUGUUCUUUGCUUCUCCUCAGAAAGAAGCUGGUAAAAACACCCAGUGCUUAAAAAUAUGAAAGCAACCCCCAUUCUUCUGUUUCGAAAUUGAUGUUAGUCGCCUCUUCAAUUUUUUUAGUAAGCCAUUUUGGGAUAUUAUCGCUAUGUUUUCAGUCUCUCUUUUUGCUCUGUAUUUGGUAAGAUGCCAAAGGAAUCUUCAGUGACACUCUUGAUCAUAUUUGUUUUGCUUAUUGUUGCAAGUUGGAUUGUAACUUAUAGAUUGCUAAGCUGGUGAAUGAGGGGGAGGUAACUAAGGCUGAGACAAUGACUAUUGGUGAAAUCUUCGAUUACAUCAAAAAAGGAUCCGCCAAGGUAGAACUUGAGCUGUAGAUAUGCCACUCAAAUCAACAUGCCUAAAUACGUAUAUCACCCGGUCGUUGACGAACGCUGGAGCCGUUUUUUUUUGUCUAUAACUGUUACAAAAGUUGUCUCUUUCUACCCACCUCUGACAGUUCCACAGGUGAAACCACAUUUGCUGCAACUGCUGAAUUGCCCCUGCUCUCUGCAAAUUUUUUGUCUCCAUCUUCCAAAGGAUGUGGAGACCUUGCUGAUGAGGGAAUGGUGGCUUAAAUAACAGUGGCGAAGCACAGGAAGCCAAAUGUGCUACUCAUGGCAAAUAGGUCUUUCCAGUUCUUAAGUUUUGUUCUGUUAUUGCUCUCUCGCACCCUUUGACCUAACAAAGAAGAAGAUGAUGAAUGUCAUUCUGGAUCCUAUCGAGGACUCAACAGGAUCACAAGCGGAGGAAACUUAUUCAUUGCUUGCUUUUGAUGGCAUUCAGAGUUCAUUUGCUGGACAUAAAUCAGCGAGUCUUCUAACGUCUUGCUUCUUCUAAACUUUUUUUUUUUUGAAACUGCUGUUCUGAUGAUUAUGUGUCUCACAUUGUUUUUUUCCAAUCGGUGGGUUUAAUCAACCUGACAUUUAUCGGUGAUGAAUCAUGGCCUCACUUGCAACAAUAUUAGAACAUCAUUAAAAAUGUGAAAAUGGAGUUUGCUUUCAA
Molecule: long non-coding RNA, 2036 nt
Organism: Brassica oleracea var. oleracea
Lineage: Eukaryota; Viridiplantae; Streptophyta; Magnoliopsida; Brassicales; Brassicaceae
Exons: 3
Source: RefSeq, a predicted model, not a curated record